RNAcentral lists this ribosomal RNA (80 nucleotides) under Xenorhabdus bovienii subsp. africana. Its description in RNAcentral is "partial 16S ribosomal RNA". It matches the Rfam family "Bacterial small subunit ribosomal RNA", at positions 1 to 80 of the family's 1533-position model. The record is from RNAcentral. Lineage: Bacteria; Pseudomonadati; Pseudomonadota; Gammaproteobacteria; Enterobacterales; Morganellaceae.
UAAUUGAAGAGUUUGAUCAUGGCUCAGAUUGAACGCUGGCGGCAGGCCUAACACAUGCAAGUCGAGCGGCAGCGGGGGGA